GACGAACGCUGGCGGUGUGGAUUAGGCAUGCAAGUCGAACGGUAUCAUCCUUUCGGGGGUGAGAGAGUGGCGAACUGGUGAGUAACACGUAGGUUAUCUACCCUCAAGACGGGGACAACCCAGGGAAACUUGGGCUAAUACCGGAUGUGAGCAACUUUUAGUUGUUUGAAAGGUGGCGUAAGCUGUCGCUUGGGGAUGAGCCUGCGUCCUAUUAGUUAGUUGGUGAGGUAACGGCUCACCUAGGCAAUGAUAGGUAGGCGGCCUUAACGGGUGGUCGCCCACACUGGGAUUGAGAUACGGCCCAGACUCCUACGGGAGGCAGCAGUCGAGAAUAGUCUACAAUGGUCGGAAGACUGAUAGUGCGACGCCGCGUGAACGAUGAAUCCCUUCGGGGUGUAAAAUUCUUUUAUAUGUGAGCAGUGCUUCUUAUAUUAACAGUAUGGGGAGAGAGAUAUUAGCAUAUGAAUAAGCAACGGCUAACUCCGUGCCAGCAGCCGCGGUAAU
RNAcentral lists this ribosomal RNA (504 nucleotides) under uncultured bacterium. Its description in RNAcentral is "bacterial SSU rRNA". It matches the Rfam family "Bacterial small subunit ribosomal RNA", at positions 28 to 524 of the family's 1533-position model. The record is from RNAcentral.